ACGCGGGCUAACAUGCAGUCGACGAUGAACCACUUCGGUGGGGAUUAGUGGCGAACGGGUGAGUAACACGUGGGCAAUCUGCCCUGCACUCUGGGACAAGCCCUGGAAACGGGGUCUAAUACCGGAUACUGAUCCGCCUGGGCAUCCAGGCGGUUCGAAAGCUCCGGCGGUGCAGGAUGAGCCCGCGGCCUAUCAGCUUGUUGGUGAGGUAACGGCUCACCAAGGCGACGACGGGUAGCCGGCCUGAGAGGGCGACCGGCCACACUGGGACUGAGACACGGCCCAGACUCCUACGGGAGGCAGCAGUGGGGAAUAUUGCACAAUGGGCGAAAGCCUGAUGCAGCGACGCCGCGUGAGGGAUGACGGCCUUCGGGUUGUAAACCUCUUUCAGCAGGGAAGAAGCGCAAGUGACGGUACCUGCAGAAGAAGCGCCGGCUAACUACGUGCCAGCAGCCGCGGUAAUACGUAGGGCGCGAGCGUUGUCCGGAAUUAUUGGGCGUAAAGAGCUCGUAGGCGGCUUGUCGCGUCGGUUGUGAAAGCCCGGGGCUUAACCCCGGGUCUGCAGUCGAUACGGGCAGGCUAGAGUUCGGUAGGGGAGAUCGGAAUUCCUGGUGUAGCGGUGAAAUGCGCAGAUAUCAGGAGGAACACCGGUGGCGAAGGCGGAUCUCUGGGCCGAUACUGACCUGAAGACGAAAACCUGGGGGG
RNAcentral lists this ribosomal RNA (705 nucleotides) under Streptomyces heliomycini. RNAcentral's name for it is "bacterial SSU rRNA". It matches the Rfam family "Bacterial small subunit ribosomal RNA", at positions 42 to 768 of the family's 1533-position model. Lineage: Bacteria; Bacillati; Actinomycetota; Actinomycetes; Kitasatosporales; Streptomycetaceae. The record is from RNAcentral.